AGUAAGAAAGAGAAAAGAUGGUGGGUGGGGUUACAAAAUGUACGUUUCAGUGAAAUGCGGGACAAGAACAGGACACAAGCUCUGGUCUCCUGGGUGGAA
Molecule: long non-coding RNA, 99 nt
Organism: Etheostoma spectabile (orangethroat darter)
Lineage: Eukaryota; Metazoa; Chordata; Actinopteri; Perciformes; Percidae
Exons: 3
Source: RefSeq, a predicted model, not a curated record